RNAcentral lists this ribosomal RNA (1343 nucleotides) under uncultured bacterium. Its description in RNAcentral is "16S ribosomal RNA". It matches the Rfam family "Bacterial small subunit ribosomal RNA", at positions 28 to 1378 of the family's 1533-position model. The record is from RNAcentral.
GACGAACGCUGGCGGCGUGCUUAACACAUGCAAGUCGAACGGAAAGGCCCUGCUUUUGUGGGGUGCUCGAGUGGCGAACGGGUGAGUAACACGUGAGUAACCUGCCCUUGACUUUGGGAUAACUUCAGGAAACUGGGGCUAAUACCGGAUAGGAGCUCCUGCUGCAUGGUGGGGGUUGGAAAGUUUCGGCGGUUGGGGAUGGACUCGCGGCUUAUCAGCUUGUUGGUGGGGUAGUGGCUUACCAAGGCUUUGACGGGUAGCCGGCCUGAGAGGGUGACCGGCCACAUUGGGACUGAGAUACGGCCCAGACUCCUACGGGAGGCAGCAGUGGGGAAUAUUGCACAAUGGGCGGAAGCCUGAUGCAGCAACGCCGCGUGCGGGAUGACGGCCUUCGGGUUGUAAACCGCUUUCGCCUGUGACGAAGCGUGAGUGACGGUAAUGGGUAAAGAAGCACCGGCUAACUACGUGCCAACAGCCGCGGUGAUACGUAGGGUGCGAGCGUUGUCCGGAUUUAUUGGGCGUAAAGGGCUCGUAGGUGGUUGAUCGCGUCGGAAGUGUAAUCUUGGGGCUUAACCCUGAGCGUGCUUUCGAUACGGGUUGACUUGAGGAAGGUAGGGGAGAAUGGAAUUCCUGGUGGAGCGGUGGAAUGCGCAGAUAUCAGGAGGAACACCAGUGGCGAAGGCGGUUCUCUGGGCCUUUCCUGACGCUGAGGAGCGAAAGCGUGGGGAGCGAACAGGCUUAGAUACCCUGGUAGUCCACGCUGUAAACGGUGGGUACUAGGUGUGGGGUCCAUUCCACGGGUUCCGUGCCGUAGCUAACGCUUUAAGUACCCCGCCUGGGGAGUACGACCGCAAGGCUAAAACUCAAAGGAAUUGACGGGGCCCCGCACAAGCGGCGGAGCAUGCGGAUUAAUUCGAUGCAACGCGUAGAACCUUACCUGGGUUUGACAUGGAUCGGGAGUGCUCAGAGAUGGGUGUGCCUCUUUUGGGGUCGGUUCACAGGUGGUGCAUGGCUGUCGUCAGCUCGUGUCGUGAGAUGUUGGGUUAAGUCCCGCAACGAGCGCAACCCUUGUUCACUGUUGCCAGCACGUUAUGGUGGGGACUCAGUGGAGACCGCCGGGGUCAACUCGGAGGAAGGUGGGGAUGACGUCAAGUCAUCAUGCCCCUUAUGUCCAGGGCUUCACGCAUGCUACAAUGGCUGGUACAGAGAGUGGCGAGCCUGUGAGGGUGAGCGAAUCUCGGAAAGCCGGUCUCAGUUCGGAUUGGGGUCUGCAACUCGACCUCAUGAAGUCGGAGUCGCUAGUAAUCGCAGAUCAGCAACGCUGCGGUGAAUACGUUCCCGGG